This 1451-nucleotide ribosomal RNA is filed under the name Weissella confusa. RNAcentral's name for it is "bacterial SSU rRNA". It matches the Rfam family "Bacterial small subunit ribosomal RNA". The record is from RNAcentral. Lineage: Bacteria; Bacillati; Bacillota; Bacilli; Lactobacillales; Lactobacillaceae.
CCGCCCGAAGCAGCACGUGAGGCCUGCACUGACUCAAAAAACAUGCUCAGAUGUCGACGGUCAUUGCAAAGAGUGGCGAACGGGUGAGUAACACGGGAAAAACAACCUCUUAGCAGGGGAUAACAUUUGGAAACAGAUGCUAAUACCGUAUAACAAUGACAACCGCAUGGUUGUUAUUUAAAAGAUGGUUCUGCUAUCACUAAGAGAUGGUCCCGCGGUGCAUUAGCUAGUUGGUAAGGUAAUGGCUUACCAAGGCGAUGAUGCAUAGCCGAGUUGAGAGACUGAUCGGCCACAAUGGGACUGAGACACGGCCCAUACUCCUACGGGAGGCAGCAGUAGGGAAUCUUCCACAAUGGGCGAAAGCCUGAUGGAGCAACGCCGCGUGUGUGAUGAAGGGUUUCGGCUCGUAAAACACUGUUGUAAGAGAAGAAUGACAUUGAGAGUAACUGUUCAAUGUGUGACGGUAUCUUACCAGAAAGGAACGGCUAAAUACGUGCCAGCAGCCGCGGUAAUACGUAUGUUCCAAGCGUUAUCCGGAUUUAUUGGGCGUAAAGCGAGCGCAGACGGUUAUUUAAGUCUGAAGUGAAAGCCCUCAGCUCAACUGAGGAAUUGCUUUGGAAACUGGAUGACUUGAGUGCAGUAGAGGAAAGUGGAACUCCAUGUGUAGCGGUGAAAUGCGUAGAUAUAUGGAAGAACACCAGUGGCGAAGGCGGCUUUCUGGACUGUAACUGACGUUGAGGCUCGAAAGUGUGGGUAGCAAACAGGAUUAGAUACCCUGGUAGUCCACACCGUAAACGAUGAGUGCUAGGUGUUUGAGGGUUUCCGCCCUUAAGUGCCGCAGCUAACGCAUUAAGCACUCCGCCUGGGGAGUACGACCGCAAGGUUGAAACUCAAAGGAAUUGACGAGGACCCGCACAAGCGGUGGAGCAUGUGGUUUAAUUCGAAGCAACGCGAAGAACCUUACCAGGUCUUUGACAUCCCUUGACAACUCCAAAGAUGAAGCGUUCCCUUCGGGGACAAGGUGACAGGUGGUGCAUGGUUGUCGUCAGCUCGUGUCGUGAGAUGUUGGGUUAAGUCCCGCAACGAGCGCAACCCUUAUUACUAGUUGCCAGCAUUCAGUUGGGCACUCUAGUGAGACUGCCGGUGACAAACCGGAGGAAGGUGGGGAUGACGUCAAAUCAUCAUGCCCCUUAUGACCUGGGCUACACACGUGCUACAAUGGCGUAUACAACGAGUUGCCAACCCGCGAGGGUGAGCUAAUCUCUUAAAGUACGUCUCAGUUCGGAUUGUAGGCUGCAACUCGCCUACAUGAAGUCGGAAUCGCUAGUAAUCGCGGAUCAGCACGCCGCGGUGAAUACGUUCCCGGGUCUUGUACACACCCCCCGUCACGCCAUGAGAGUUUGUAUCUACCCAAAGCCGGUGGGGUUAACUCCCUCGGGCCAAACCCCCAC